GCACUGCUGAGGAGUCCCAAACUAGGACGAAACGGCCGUCCAGUGC
Molecule: non-coding RNA, 46 nt
Organism: Schistosoma haematobium
Lineage: Eukaryota; Metazoa; Platyhelminthes; Trematoda; Strigeidida; Schistosomatidae
Source: Rfam